Mesocricetus auratus (golden hamster) is the source of this 163-nucleotide small nuclear RNA. Its record names the gene U1. It matches the Rfam family "U1 spliceosomal RNA". From Rfam's summary of the family: U1 is a small nuclear RNA (snRNA) component of the spliceosome (involved in pre-mRNA splicing). Its 5' end forms complementary base pairs with the 5' splice junction, thus defining the 5' donor site of an intron. There are significant differences in sequence and secondary structure between metazoan and yeast U1 snRNAs, the latter being much longer (568 nucleotides as compared to 164 nucleotides in human). Lineage: Eukaryota; Metazoa; Chordata; Mammalia; Rodentia; Cricetidae. The record is from Ensembl.
AGAUUUACCCAAGGGGGAGAUCCCAUGAUUGGUAAGGUGGCUUUUCCAGGGUGAAGUUUACAUUUCACAUUUGGAUAUGCUAACCCUGUGACUUCCCCAGAUGUAGGAAGCUCAGUUGCACAGUUUGUGAUAAAGGGUGGUGAUAAAAGAGGAAAGACACCCC